This 486-nucleotide ribosomal RNA is filed under the name uncultured bacterium. RNAcentral describes it as "partial 16S ribosomal RNA". It matches the Rfam family "Bacterial small subunit ribosomal RNA", at positions 28 to 507 of the family's 1533-position model. The record is from RNAcentral.
GAUGAACGCUGGCGGCGUGCCUAAUACAUGCAAGUCGAACGCUGGAAAUCUAGCUUGCUAGAUUGAAGGAGUGGCGAACGGGUGAGUAAUACAUAAGCAACCUACCCACGAAGACUGGGAUAAUCUCUGGAAACGGGGACUAAUACCGGAUAGGUAAUCGGAAGGCAUCUUCUGAUUAUUAAAGGUUAAAAACACUGGUGGAUGGGCUUAUGGCGCAUUAGUUAGUUGGUGAGGUAACGGCCCACCAAGACGAUGAUGCGUAGCCGGCCUGAGAGGGUGAACGGCCACAUUGGGACUGAGACACGGCCCAGACUCCUACGGGAGGCAGCAGUAAGGAAUUUUCGGCAAUGGGGGAAACCCUGACCGAGCAACGCCGCGUGAGUGAUGACGGCCUUCGGGUUGUAAAGCUCUGUUGUAAGGGAAGAACGGUAGAUAGAGAAUAUCUAAAUGACGGUACCUUACCAGAAAGCCACGGCUAACUACGUG